RNAcentral lists this ribosomal RNA (462 nucleotides) under uncultured bacterium. RNAcentral describes it as "bacterial SSU rRNA". It matches the Rfam family "Bacterial small subunit ribosomal RNA", at positions 8 to 471 of the family's 1533-position model. The record is from RNAcentral.
AGAGUUUGAUCCUGGCUCAGAACGAACGCUGGCGGCGUGUCUUAAGCAUGCAAGUCGAACGAGAAACAGACCUUCGGGUUUGUGGACAGUGGCGGACGGGUGAGUAACACGUAGGUGAUCUACCUCGGGGUGGGGGAUAGCCCAUGGAAACAUGGGGUAAUACCGCAUGAUGCCGGGCAUCCGCGAAUGCCCGAUGAAAGGCGCAAUUGUGCCGCCCGGAGAUGAGCCUGCGGUCCAUUAGCUUGUUGGGGGGGUAAUAGCCUCCCAAGGCGACGAUCGGUAGCCGGUCUGAGAGGACGGACGGCCACACUGGAACUGAGACACGGUCCAGACUCCUACGGGAGGCAGCAGUGGGGAAUUUUGCGCAAUGGCCGAAAGGCUGACGCAGCAACGCCGCGUGGAGGAAGAAGGUCUUCGGAUCGUAAACUCCUGUCCUAAGGGACGAAGCUCCGCAAGGGGUUG